UGAACACCAGUGGCGAAGGCGACUUUCUGGACUGUAACUGACGCUGAGGUACGAAAGCGUGGGUAGCGAACAGGAUUAGAUACCCUGGUAGUCCACGCCGUAAACGAUGGAUACUAGGUGUAGGGGGUAUCGACCCCCCUGUGCCGGAGUUAACGCAAUAAGUAUCCCGCCUGGGGAGUACGGUCACAAGACUGAAACUCAAAGGAAUUGACGGGGGCCCGCACAAGCAGCGGAGCAUGUGGUUUAAUUCGAAGCAACGCGAAGAACCUUACCAGGGCUUGACAUCCCGAUGACCGGUACAGAGAUGUACCUUCCCUUCGGGGCAUUGGAGACAGGUGGUGCAUGGUUGUCGUCAGCUCGUGUCGUGAGAUGUUGGGUUAAGUCCCGCAACGAGCGCAACCCCUAUCCUUAGUUGCCAUCAGUUAAAGCUGGGCACUCUAAAGAGACUGCCGGGGAUAACUCGGAGGAAGGUGGGGAUGACGUCAAAUCAUCAUGCCCCUUAUGUCCUGGGCUACACACGUGCUACAAUGGCCUGUAACAGAGGGAAGCGAAGUCGUAAGGCGGAGCAAAACUCAGAAACCAGGUCCCAGUUCGGAUUGUGGGCUGCAACUCGCCCACAUGAAGUCG
Molecule: ribosomal RNA, 627 nt
Filed under: uncultured bacterium
Lineage: Bacteria
Description: bacterial SSU rRNA
Rfam family: Bacterial small subunit ribosomal RNA
Source: RNAcentral